UCCAGUUCGCACAAAUCAUUCGCGAACUGUAUAAACAUAUGUUUUAUCAAAAAAUACGUUAUCACGCGUCAAUUUCAGUUUCCAAUUUCUAAUUUUCUUGUUCGCGAUUCAAUUUUCAAUUUAAAAUAAGUUAAUACUUUUAUUAAUGAACCAUGGAUACUCUGUUUUGCAAAUUUUGUAAAAAAAAUUACUCUCGACUGUAUAAUUUCAAAGUGCACUUGAGAAAAUUCCAUCCCAAAGUAUACGCCGAAAGUGAUCUAUCGAAAACUAAACCAAAAUUCGAUCAGAAAUGUCCUCUUUGUGAUUUUUCAAGCAAAGUGAGGAACAACGUUGAAAAACAUCUAGUCGAUUUUCACCAUAUAGAAGAAGUAAGCAAUUAUGAAAUUUUACACUUCGCUUCGAAUGAUGAAUUUGCCCGAUGGAAGAAAGACAUCGAAACAUCAUCAAAUACAGGUUUUGUUCAACCGUGCGGAGCUCAGCGUUCCAAAAACAUCAAAACUACGUAUUAUUAUUGCAACCGUUCGGGUUAUUUUGUUCCUAAAGGAUUAGGUAAACGAGCUCUAAGAACUCAAGGAUCUUCUAAAAUAAAUGGCGUUUGCCCAGCCAAAAUCAAGAAAAUAGAGAAAGAAGACGGUAUAGAAGUCCAUUAUUUAGAUAUACAUAUCGGACACACCGCCGAUAUCAGUCAUUUACGUUUACAAAAGGAAGAAAGAGACGAAAUAGCUUUGAAAAUAGCCCAAAACAUUUCCUUCGAUACUAUUUUACAAGAUAUCAGACAAUCCGUUGAAACUGGAGAAAAAAUAGAAAGACUAAAAUUACUGAGUAAGAAAGAUUUAUGGAAUAUUAAAUAUUCGUACACUGCCAAUGGUACGCUACCACAUAUGAUAGCUCUUCUUACUGAUUUGGAGAAACCAGACGAAAAACAUUCCGGUGAUGAAAAUUUCGUGGAAUACGAACCUUUUAUUGAAAUAUUAUCCGAAGAAAAACCUGAUCUUGAACACGAAGAGAUCAUAAUUGAAAAUCACAUAAUUACGAGCUAAAUCUUAACAAUGAAAACGAUGCUGUGAUUUCAUUUUCCUAUUAUAAAGAAGACCAGAAAAAUAGGAAGUAAGGUAUAAAAAACUAACAUCAUCAAACUCUGUGUGCUGGGUUUCGACGUUCUCAUCAAGGAGUCCAUUUUCCAGUUCGAAAUAUAUCAUCGAAUCUUCACUGGGGAUCAGAUCAAAUUCAUCUUUGUUUCGAAUACUUUCCGUACCUAUGACCGAAGCUGGCUAUUUUCUCGGAUGGGUAUACGAAGGUAUUUCUAAACGGAAAAUCACUAUAAUCCUAACAACUGGUUGACUGUUCUGUUGGUUCAUCUAAUUGUACCAAAUCAACUCAAUUACAUAUUUCCAGGCGGCGUUUUGCAGAAUGUGUUUAACAUUUAAUAAGCUUUUCCUGUGUCUGCUUUUUUAAACGCUCGAAAAUCAGUACAUAAAGUAGAAUUUUUUUACUAAAUAAUUAUUUCCUAUUAGUUCGAGUUCAAAGUUUUAUUGGCGACUAUCUCUCGUAUCCCAGACCAGCAGACCUAUCUCAUUGUUAGCUUUUGGAAUUUUUACACAAGCAGUAUUAAACGUAAAAAUAAUAUUGUAAUAGGUACUUACAAUGUUGGUAGAAGUGUCUAUUCUACUACGAAAUCCAAGUGCUUAUUUAGUUUAUCAAACGCGAAAAUUUACGAAAUUUUCACUAUGAAAAAAAAUUUAAUAUUAUUUACGAUCCAAUUCGUGGCUUCGAUCUGAAGCAAUUAUACUAAAUGAAUGGCUAAUAAAUAUCUGAACAAAUAAGUUCGAGUAUUAGAACGUCUUUGUGAAUUUUUCGAUGCUUAAUUAAGCCAACUUAUGCGUAAUCAUUUUAAUAUUGUGGUAAAUUAUGAAAAAUUCUACUUUAAAUAAACGACAAAAUAUGCGAAAGCACCGCCGUUCGUAUGACAUCAGUCGAAUAUUACGUUCGAAGAGAUGAAAUUUGGCAAAUAAUAUCUGCUCGUAGGUAUAUUUGCAGUAAACACUUUUCUAAUUAGGAAGCAUUGAUGAAUAAUAAAGCGAAAUGAAUAUGGCAAAAAUACUAUCAAAAGUCUCUGCUGGUUACGAUGAUGGCAAUGAAAAAAGUUCAAGAACAAGAGACUAAAUGAUUUUCUCCACGACUCAUCAAAUUAUUCAAGGGAAUAUUGUAAACUAUGUUGGGAUUUUUUGACUUUCUUUCCCCUCUUUCAUCGAUAUUAAUUACAUGCUGCCAUAGAAUGAUAACCUUAUCGUUGUAAAAUGUUCAUUGUAAUUCUUUGUAAUGCAUUUCUUGUUUUGUUUAUCAGGUUUACGACUCCAUUUAGCAGAAUUUUACUCGUGUGUUUUACUUUUCAUUAGAUGCGAUAAAGGUUACAAAAUAUAAUUAACAGGAUAGGUACGAGAUGAUUUCGAGAUGCACUGAAAUAAUUUUCUCUUCGAAUCAUUAGUACAUAAUUUUGUUAAGUUAAUCGUUACUGUUGGUAAUCGGGUGGUUAUUUUUUAUGUGAUAAAUAUUUGAUAAAUACGGGUUAGGAAAACCUAUUAAUGUGUACGCGUAUAUGUAGCAUGAUGUCAUUUCUUAUUGGAGAAGAAUGUUGGUGAGUACAUCGUAGAAGUACCUACAUUAUGGUAGGUACACGUUUUGAAAUGUAAAACGAAAAAUCUUGACGUAUUAUUCAAAUUUAUGAAUUAUUUGAAUUCAUUAACGAUUGCAGCUGGGAAAAUAACGUCAUCUGUUCAAAGUAAUUUCUGAUUGCAUCAGGUUUUGUAUUCGCGUGAUUGAAAUUGAUAAUAAUGGAAAUAAUCGUAAAAAUGAUAUUUUCCGGGUAUUUAUAAUUAUUUUUAAAGGCGUAAAGAUAAGAUACAUAUAUUUCAAAUAGAAUUAUUCAAUUUAGUAAGAGAUUCACAUCUGUAUAAGUACCUUUCUUAAUAAUAAUAGCCUACCCUAUUGUAUACCUCUUGGAAAAUUUCAAAAAAUUGAUAAGUACCUAUACGUAGAUUUGAUUUUUUAACUUAUCACGAGUAAGUAAGUACGUGUAAUGUGAUACAAAAUACAAAUCUGGGAAUUGAAAUUCAAAUUAUAAAUAAACUACGAAUAAUUGCGAGAAUCAUAAUCAUAAAUUCAUUGAACGUACAACGUAUACCUACCUACCUAUAUAAGUAGUAGGUAUAUUGAGAUAAGUAUGACUAAAAAAAAAAAUAAAAUAUAUUCAGUUUUUUUUCGUCA
RNA transcript from Planococcus citri (citrus mealybug), 3264 nucleotides. RefSeq lists it as uncharacterized. The record is from RefSeq and is a predicted model, not a curated record. The transcript has 4 exons. NCBI's taxonomy places the organism in Eukaryota, Metazoa, Arthropoda, Insecta, Hemiptera, Pseudococcidae.